Vitis vinifera (wine grape) is the source of this 4559-nucleotide long non-coding RNA. RefSeq lists it as uncharacterized. Lineage: Eukaryota; Viridiplantae; Streptophyta; Magnoliopsida; Vitales; Vitaceae. The record is from RefSeq and is a predicted model, not a curated record. The transcript has 2 exons.
CUCUUGCAAGCCCUCUUUCACAUGGGUUUUUGUCAUCAUAGAAGUGUGAUGGCUGAUAUUUAUUACCAGGAAAUGUCCUUGUGGAUUUCACAGGGACUUUUGUUGAUGUGAUCAUGUGGAAGGGUUUCUGGUGAGAUGGAUGGUGUGAAAAAGGUUUGAUUGGCAAUUUAAUGCGAGUUUAAGCUCACAUGGGCUAUUUUCUUGGGCCACCAAUGAAAUCUGGCCUGUGUCUUUUCUACCUGAAGAGAAUGAUAUUAAUGCCAUACCUGGUUUGGAACCCAGCUCAGCUGCUCAGGUACUUGUUACAAUUAUACUGCACAAUGUAGAAAAUCUUAUUACCCAUUACUUGAGAGAAAUGCUAUACAUGAAGCAAUGUUUGUUAAAUUUUUUGGUUUAUCCCUAUAUGUAGCCAUUUCAGAAUACAAGUUCCAACCUUUGGCAUUCUUUUAGAUCUUCAUGCCUAUAUCUGUGACAUCCAAUUUCAUGUCUUAGUAGCAGGAUCAUAUUGAUCUUAUAUGCAUAUUUCUGUAUGCACAUAUCUCAAGAUUCUCAUCAUAGUACAAGCACGUUUGCAGAGAGUUGAAAUGCACAUGGUAGAUUGCAGGAGAAAUUGAGGUAUGCUUUACAUUUUUCCUUUAUAUUUGCUCCUUAAUUGCAAUUUACUCGAGGGGGUGCUCCUGGACCAGUGAAUAUUGCUUAUUCUGGUGUGUAUCAGUGGUGGUAUACAAUCGGUUUACGCACUAAUGAAGAUCUUUAUACUGGAGCUCUUUUUCUAUUAUUUCUUUCUGCUAUAUCUUUAAUAGUGGGUUGGUUACACCUACAACCGAAAUGGAAACCAAGCGUUUUGUGGUUCAAAAAUGCCGAAUCUCGUCUCAAUCAUCAUUUUUCAGGACUCUUCGGAGUAAGUUCAUUGGCUUGGACCGGACAUUUAGUCCAUUUCGCUACUGCCAUCUCAUUGAGUUUUAUUUGAGCCCCUGCUAUUUUGUUAGUUUGUUUUGUGCUGUGUUUGAGCAUAGUUUCUCUCUUCAUGAUCUUAAUCUUUUUUCAAAUGUUUCUUUCUGCUUUUUUGGUUGACAUGGAAUAAUAAAUUUGCCAUCAAAAUACUAACAUCCAUUUAUGUAUUAAUGUAACUCUGCCACUGUUUAGAUUUUUGGGUAACUUAUGUGCACAACUUCCCAUGUAUGUGUCAAAAUGCAAAGUUAGUGUCCAUGUAGACAGGUUAUAGUUGGUUUGUGUUUAUUUGAGAUAUUUACAAGAGUCUUCUAUUGGACUGCUGGCUUCAUGUAGCUGUUAAUCUACAGCCUUGUGGUGAGGAUCUUUAUGCAUGUCAAGUCUGGAUGCAGCUGCAGGCUAUUGAUCUUGUAAUGUUUCUUCAAACACGUUGGGAGAGUGAUUGAGGUAAAGUUCACCCUUCCAGUUUUUUUUACUUUUAUUUUAUUGAUCCCAUGUCUUCUUCAUGGUUAAAUCUAAUUUGACAAGUUAUUGUGAUCAAAAGUUUGGAGUAUUAAUCAUUAAUAAUUUUCCCUUCCUAACCAUAUAACUUGUAAUAAGCUCUCAAUUAGAGGUUGAACUAUGACACUAGGCUCAAGAAAAUAUUUUGUUUUUGGAUUGACUAGAAGAUGCCUGCCCAUAUGGCAGGGGCAUUGACAUGGGACAAGGAUAGAAAAUGGCGCAGAUAUGCUGUCACAGGAAAUCCAGAAAAAGUAGGAUAUUGGCACAAUGAGGACGUGAGAGCAUAUAUAGGAGCAAUGUCAUUUCCUCUGAACUACUUAUGUGACCUGGUUAUUUGACUAGAAACAAUAAGAAAAUGCCUUGUUCUUGCCAAAGCUUGCAACAAAUGACAUUGUGUCUUCAGGAUAAUCUACAUUAUGAAAGCAGGAUAAUCCAUUUGUUCUAGUUUUUAAUUUAAGCUAUAUGUGUUCCCUAUGAAAAUGCAUAGGCAUGCGUACAAUACGGAAAUAAAUAUUAUUUUGAAAAUUUUGAGACAUCCCAAGGGUGUUGGAGAAUCAUGUCUAACAUGGAGCGAGAUCCUCAGAAGUUUCCAACUUGACUCCCUUUUUAGAAGCGUAUACAGUAUAGAUGCGCGCACUACCACAUCUUUGGAAGGUUGGACAGAAAUUAAUAACAGAAAUGCUUUGUCAUGAACAUGAUGCCUAGUUAGAAGUGUCCAUUCUAUAUGGUUGCAUCCGUUAUGACCUUUUUGGAAGGAUAGGAAGAACAAUGGAACUGUAUUUUUUGUUAUCAAAGUAGAUUUUUCAGGGAGGUUCCUUUUGCAAAACAAUCGCAAAAUUGGUGGGGCCACCUCCUCCAAAGUGGGAAUGUGCCUUCCCUUUCUGGUUCACUAGGGCUGUUGCCACCUGCUGAGUGCAUGCACUUUUACAUAAAUCCUCUCUGUGUCUCUUUCUAGUAUGACUCUUCCCUUUCCUCUUUCUCUCCACCACAUGGACUUCUAUAGUUGGAGAGACCGAUCCAUUUCUCUUUCUUUUUAUUGUAUCUACCUUGUUAACCCUAUUCCUUUACUUGUGAAGACUAUUCAUCAGGGUUGAUUAUGUAAAAAUUUAAAAAACUUGUGUCAAAGCCAAUAAAAGUCAGGGCUGCAGUUCCUUUAUAAAGCAGUAUAUACAUGGCUAAGUUUGAAUAUAGGUGUAAAUACAGCAUUUAUAAAUAUGGAAAAGCAAUAAAUGGAAAUAUUGGAUAUAGAUGAAACCAAUGUAACUAUGGUUAUUGUUGGCCGGUGCAUGUUUCUUGCCUGCAACUUUGCUCCAGAAAAUCUUCUGGGUGCUAAUUGUUUUGAGGUGGAAGAUAAAUAGGCAUGGGUGUUUUUAAAUCCUUCUUUGAUGCUGAGUUGCAACAAGGAUGUGCUGUGAUCCCCGACAAGUUGUUCUCUUAAUUGCCUAUGCGGGAAAGGAUAUGAGGGGGCAUAUCUUGACCAACCAAAUUGCCUAAGCAAAUCAAGUGUAAGAAUCUAAAAAUUAUACUUUAAUCUGAUAUCACUGCAUGAGACAUUAAGUUCAUCAGGUGGAAUAUAGAGUAAUUUUGUGGAAAACCCUGGAAGGAGCAAAGCAGAAGAGUUUUUGAGGGGGAUGGAGACUUCAGAAAGGAAACGUGUUGCAUUCUUGAAUUUUUGAACUAAGGAGAAAGUGGUUAUAGGAUGUGCUCUUUUUUGGAUUUGUUAGGUUUCGGUUAGUGAAAACAAUAUCUUUUUAUGCAUAAAGUAGUCUUGGUUUUGUCUCUCUGAUACUUAUAAAAAAAACAAAAAGGGAAAAAAAAUUAUUUUUUGGGGGAAAGUUUGAAAAUUCUUGUAGAGUGAAUGGAACCACAUUCAACAAAGAGAAGGAAAGUUUGAACUUUGCAAGAGUGCUCUUGAGGGAGACUGCCCUUGAUUUACCAACAAAACUAUUUUCGGGAAAUUUCGAUUUUUUAAAGUAAAAACCCAAGUCCAAUUUAGGUGCUUUUAAAAGCUUAAAAUAAAAUGAUCUGAUUUUUGCCAAAAUUUUAAAUGGACUUUGUUAGGAUUCUAGCUAUAUCAACCCUAAGGGAAUCAUCCUUUUUUUUUUUUUUUUUAGCCAGGGGUGGGGGGGUGUGUUUUGGAAUUGGGUGAUGAUCACUUUUUGGAAAUUUAACAAUUAUAGGAUGCAAUAAAUGAUAUAAGCUAUGAUAUGAUAAAUAUCAAUAUAAGAGCAAUUGCAAAUAAAUAAUGAGGAAGGAAGAUAAAUUGCAAACUCAAGAUUUUAUGGUGGUUCAGCGCAACCUAGGACUAUCCUUAAGCUCCUAAUUGAGUGAAGGUUCUACUAAUCCAAGACUUCCAACACAAGUCUCUAAGCAUUACAAUUAGAUUAUGGUUCUAAUAAACCCUUUUGGACAUAUGACUUCAAGCACCCUCUACAACAAGACUUUUCAAGACAAAUCUCCAAACUCUUUCCUUUGGAUUAUGAUCUAAAACACCCUCACAAAAUAUAGAUAUGUAGAAAGAUAAUUUCACAAAAUCAUAGUACAAAUUGAAGCUUAAAUGAUAUAAAGAAAAAGUAGAAUUGAGGUGUACUAAUGGAUAUGCAAGUUUUAAAACAAAGUGCACUCAAACAACUCCCCCAAGGCUGAAAUAAUGUUCAUAAAAGAUUUAGAAAUCUCUAUCUAAAACAAAGACAUUUGGAGGCUUUAAAUAGGGUUUAGAAGCCUAAACUAGCCGUUAGGCAGGUUUGAGGGUUGACUAUUGAGCAACCGGUUCACUAGCCAUUAGCAUUAAAUGCUUUGGCAAGUGACUAUUGGAGGUUAGAACUUCAACUGGAACUUGACCAGUCUUCAACUGGUCGAGGCUUAACCUCAAUCAACUAGACAUAUGCUACUGGAAGUGAGGGGGUGCAAAAUGCACCUUGAUCAGUUGAAUUCUUGGGCCCUUAAUCGGUUGCACUAUAAAGUGCUUAAACAACCCUGUUUGAGGUUUGGAACGUCCAACAAUUUAUGUGUAGCUUCUUGAAACCUUUUAAGAGAAGUUUAGAAAGAAUUGGGUUCAAUGUUUUAACAAAAACAUGAAAUCAUCCAAUUUGUAAAAUAAUUGAAAA